This 254-nucleotide ribosomal RNA is filed under the name uncultured bacterium. RNAcentral's name for it is "partial 16S ribosomal RNA". It matches the Rfam family "Bacterial small subunit ribosomal RNA", at positions 15 to 229 of the family's 1533-position model. The record is from RNAcentral.
GAUCAUGGCUCAGGAUUAACGCUGGCGGCGUGCCUAACACAUGCAAGUCGAGCGGCAGCGAGUUUUACACUGAAUUCUGGAAGCUUCUGGUUUAAAGAGAAGAUUUAUUCAAGAGUUUUGUGUAAAAUGUCGGCGAGCGGCGGACGGCUGAGUAACGCGUGGGAACGUACCCCAAAGUGAGGGAUAACGCAUCGAAAGGUGUGCUAAUACCGCAUAUGGUCUUUGGAUUAAAGCCUUCGGGCGCUUUGGAACGG